GCUUUUAAACUUGUUUUCUGAAAGAUCAGACAUCCAAAUUCUCCUGUUCGCUGAUAUGUGCAAAUGCAAACCUGGAAGUUUCCAGAAAAUGAGAUGAAUCAUGAUUGUGGGGAUAGAAAAGAGCACUAGAAAAGAGACCCUGGAUCACUGCUGAUCUUUGGUCAAGCACAUGACCGGCGCCUGAGAAGCAUACGAAGUUAAGACCCUUCCCCAGGAAGCACCGAAGCACAGCAGACUGAAGAACUCUUAAGCUCUGCAUGAAGAUUGGCUGAGCCACAAAGUCCAGAUCCUGACCCAGACUGGAAUUUUCCCCAAGUAUGGGUGUUUCUGAGCUGGGGUUUUGUUGGUGGCUUCAUCAGUUUCUGGUUUUCAAAAUAUAAAAUGAGUACAAAGAUGGUAGAACGACUAUGUCCAAAGUAAAAGACCAUGGAAACAUGCACUAAGCAAACAUAUCCAUAUUUUAAAGUCGUCACCUUUGCUGUUUUUGGCCAGUGCAGGUGGAAAGGGGGAGGGGGAAUGAUGUGAUGAGGAUAUGACUUUUGCAUCAAAUAAUAUUAUUGUUAGGAGUACUUUUUACAAACAUUAACUAAUUAAUAUUCACAACAAUUUUAUACCAAAGAUAAGUAUUGUAAUA
Molecule: long non-coding RNA, 634 nt
Organism: Mauremys mutica (yellowpond turtle)
Lineage: Eukaryota; Metazoa; Chordata; Testudines; Geoemydidae
Exons: 3
Source: RefSeq, a predicted model, not a curated record